UGAACGCUGGCGGCGUGCUUAACACAUGCAAGUCGAACGGGGGUGCCAUUUUCGAGGUGAUUAGUUUACUAAGAGCCAAGAUGUUGGUAUCUUAGUGGCGGACGGGUGAGUAACGCGUGGGUAACCUGCCUUAUACAGGGGGAUAACACUUAGAAAUAGGUGCUAAUACCGCAUAAGCGCACGGGGCUGCAUGGCCCAGUGUGAAAAACUCCGGUGGUAUAAGAUGGACCCGCGUCUGAUUAGCUUGUUGGCGGGGUAACGGCCCACCAAGGCGACGAUCAGUAGCCGGCCUGAGAGGGUGGACGGCCACAUUGGGACUGAGACACGGCCCAAACUCCUACGGGAGGCAGCAGUGGGGAAUAUUGGACAAUGGGGGGAACCCUGAUCCAGCGACGCCGCGUGAGUGAAGAAGUAUUUCGGUAUGUAAAGCUCUAUCAGCAGGGAAGAAAGAAAUGACGGUACCUGACUAAGAAGCCCCGGCUAACUACGUGCCAGCAGCCGCGGUAAUACGUAGGGGGCAAGCGUUAUCCGGAUUUACUGGGUGUAAAGGGAGCGUAGACGGUUGUGCAAGUCUGAAGUGAAAGGCGGGGGCCCAACCCCCGGACUGCUUUGGAAACUGUAUAACUGGAGUGCANGAGAAGUAAGUGGAAUUCCUAGUGUAGCGGUGAAAUGCGUAGAUAUUAG
RNAcentral lists this ribosomal RNA (684 nucleotides) under uncultured bacterium. RNAcentral's name for it is "bacterial SSU rRNA". It matches the Rfam family "Bacterial small subunit ribosomal RNA", at positions 30 to 700 of the family's 1533-position model. The record is from RNAcentral.